This 637-nucleotide long non-coding RNA is filed under the name Paramuricea clavata. The record is from RNAcentral. Lineage: Eukaryota; Metazoa; Cnidaria; Anthozoa; Malacalcyonacea; Plexauridae.
AGAUGAUAACACAAUACAAACAUGGAAUUCACUAUAUUCAUAUUUUUAAUGAUAUGUUUUAUAAGUCUAAAUUCCUUUUAAUAUUCCUCUGAUAUACAAAUCUUCUGAAAACUUUAAUAUUAUCAAGGUUUAUAACCGACUUAAUAUUAGAAUUGAGACUCUCUUCAGGUAUUUUAAUAUUACAGUAGCUGAGUAGCAAUUAACACACAGUACAUUGUAAUUGUUUUUGUUCUUGAAAAUUGUCCUUUCCACGCGCUCUUUCAACCAUUAGAAACAUAAUAGCGUUAAACGGCUAAAUUAUGCUGGAGGAACCACAAAUGUCUCUACAUUUAAAGCUUUUUCAAACUGACACAGAGGUGAAUGGACAAGAUUACAAUUAAUUGUGACAUUUUUCUUCGACAACAGCACUCUUCGCGGCUCCUGUCGGCUCUAUACUGACCCUGUUUCACACGCAAUAUUUUCCUUAUUCAGUCGCUAACACACCUUUUGUAUCCCACUAUGAAGAACAUCAACAUUUCCACCAAAACCCCGAAAAAAUCAUCAUUUUAUACACGAAACAAUAAAAUAUUUCAAACAAUUUGUUUUGCUUUGGCAACGCAUGCGCAGUUCGGUCGACAUACAGUUUUCUGUAUGUCUG